UUAAGUUCAGCGGGUAAUCCUGCCUGAUUUGAGGUCUAAUCUUAAAAAAGGUUUACGGUGUUUGAAGCUAUUCAAAUCGUCUAAAGUCGGCCAUUAGAGAAAUUUAAUUCUCAAUGUCCUCAGCGAAUAGUCUAUUACGCCGAGUCAAUCCGAGUUCGAAGUUGAAUUGUGCUAAUGUAUUACGAGUAAGCUAAUUUUGA
This 200-nucleotide unclassified non-coding RNA is filed under the name Microbotryomycetes sp. Its description in RNAcentral is "partial internal transcribed spacer 2". The record is from RNAcentral. Lineage: Eukaryota; Fungi; Basidiomycota; Microbotryomycetes.